UUACUUUUAAUUUUUGAUGGAUUAAGGAUGUUACUAGCUUUUUAUCCUAAAUUAGGUUGGAUGCAAUGAGUUAGGGUAUAAGUCAAAAUAGUCUUAGAAAUAAGAGAUUAAGUAUGUAAAAAUAAUUGAUUAAGAGCGUGCCAGCGGUUGCGGUUAAACGAUAGAUAGGUCCUUGAGUAGGUGAUAUUAGGUGAAGUUAAGAUAUUUAUAGGUGAAAUUUGUAGAUAUCCUGUUAUCUAUCAGAUAAUUUAGGAUGUGUGAAUUGGAUUAGAUACCCAAGUAAUCCUAAUAAAGGUAGCAUAUGAGGAGUAAAUUAAAGAUUUUGGCGGUGUUGUUUAAUAGUAGGGGGACUUGUACAUUAAAGGGAUAACAAACCUGGUUUAAUACUUAUUGUGUGGCUUCUUGUAUGAUUGUCUAGGUAUGUGUAGUGUCUAUGAUAAAUAAAUGUAGGGGUUAUCAAUAAGGUGGAGUGAGUCUUUUAAGUAAGUAACUUAAUAUAGAUUAAGUUAAUAAAGAAUUUACAAGUAAAUCAUUUACAGGUUGAAUAAAUCAACAAUGAGUACAUAUUGCCCGUCAAUCCCCCAUAGGGGGAUAAGUCGUAACAUAGUGAGUCAACUGGAAGGUGGACUUU
Molecule: ribosomal RNA, 631 nt
Filed under: Moniliformis sp. XH-2020
Lineage: Eukaryota; Metazoa; Acanthocephala; Archiacanthocephala; Moniliformida; Moniliformidae
Description: 12S ribosomal RNA
Source: RNAcentral